CAGAUAGGCAGCUGACCUUCUUGGUAGCUCCAGUCUGAAGAGAACCAAGUGGAGAGGCCAGAGAUACCAUGCAAGAUCUUUCCUCAGGAAAUAUGGGGUGCUGCUUGGCUGAUAGAAAGGUGCCUUUAAGGAAAAGUGGUGUAACUCUCCUGAUGUAAUCAUUACAUAAGGAUUUCAUCAAAAUGACUGCUGUGUUUACAAAGGCAUCAGUAAACAGAGAAUACCCCUGACAGGUCAGAAGUGAUAACGUUUUCCUGACGCAGCACAUAAAUUGCCAAAGAGGCAGGUCUCAUCCCCACCCAAUGAGACAGAACUGAAGAAAACCAUUUCUGCAGUUCCAGUUGGUGUCCUUCACUCCACCAGGAUUCUGUGGGAUGGAGCCCAACACCUUUUGGAAAGUCUCCUCAUGGUUGUCCUCAGCUCUCUGGCAGCUUCCCCUCUCUUCCAUGACCACAUGCCAGCACACGGCCUUUUGCACAAGCAGUUGCCAUCACCUGUGCCUGGAAAAGGAAUUCCCCCAUCCCCACAUCCCGCUGUGUUUGCCGCAGUGCAGGGUUUCCACCAAGGCAGGCCACAAGUCCUGCUGCUGGAAGUUGCAGUCCAAGGCUUCCUGAGAAGCUGAGAGCCUGGUCUCACACCGCAGCCCCCAAACCUUGCCAAGCUGUGCUCCCAGUGCCACUAAUGGUUUAUCUCCCAAUUGCAACUGCUUAGGAGGUGCGAGUGGAUUUGUACAUCUUGUGUUCCCUUGGAUGGGUCAGAGCCCCUGGCUGCAAUCCCAGCAUCUCCCACUGGCUGACUGGAGACAUCCAUCCUGCUCCACCACAGGAGAGGCCAUUCCCUGUCCUGUUUUUAUCAGACAUGCCAGAGAAACUGAAAUAACAGAAAAUAAGGCAGAACUGGGG
This is a long non-coding RNA of Manacus vitellinus (golden-collared manakin), 902 nucleotides long. RefSeq lists it as uncharacterized. The record is from RefSeq and is a predicted model, not a curated record. The transcript has 3 exons. Lineage: Eukaryota; Metazoa; Chordata; Aves; Passeriformes; Pipridae.